UGAGAAAGCAUGGUGUCAAAUCCCAUUCAAAAGUUGAACGGCGCGAGAUGGUGCGCGAGAUGCGCGAGAUGGUGCGCGAGAUGCACUUUGAGAGAUUUUUGUUCGCCAGAGGAAAUACUUACUACAUGUCAAGACUCCCUCACGUCCGUUUUACAGUUUGCUCUCCAAAAUCUAUUUUGCUCUCACUGCUUACUAUAAUUUUAUAACGUGGAAAUCUUAGCCAAUGAACAUAGCCUGUCGCAGUCUACUGAAACGCUUGACUGCACUUGAACUGAAUUUUCUACCACAGAGACGAUAGGGGAUGUUGGGAGGUGAAUGAUGGUCCACUGUCACUAAUAUGUGGUGGUGUUGUGUCUCUGCGCAGCUGAAAGACAGGAGUCUAUUCUGUUCCAAGUAGGUUACCUUGUCUCUCCUCUAUGCACAACCCUCUGGAGAUUUCCUGCAGUUCUCAGGAGACAGGUCAGUGUGUGUAGAGAGAACACGUUUGACCAGGUGGAGUCAGGCUUCUACUUCAUCGCCUUGGACCACGACACCAACGAGGUAGAGGACGUUAUGUUUGGACCAGUAAGACACCAACGCGGUAGAGGACGUUAUGUUUGGACCAGUAAGACACCAACGAGGUAGAGGACGUUAUGUUUGGACCAGUAAGACACCAACGAGGUAGAGGAAUUUAUGUUUGGACCAGUAAGACACCAACGAGGUAGAGGAUGUUAUGUUUGGACCAGUAAGACACCAACGAGGUAGAGGACGUUAUGUUUGAACCAGUAAGACACCAACGAGGUAGAGGGACGUUAUGUUUGGACCAGUAAGACACCAACGAGGUAGAAGGACGUUAUGUUUGGACCAGUAAGACACCAACGAGGUAGAGGACGUUAUGUUUGGACCAGUAAGACACCAACGAGGUAGAGGGCGUUAUAUUUGGACCAGUAAGACACCAACGAGGUAGAGGACGUUAUAUUUGGACCAGUAAGACACCAACGAGGUAGAGGACGUUAUAUUUGGACCAGUAAGACACCAACGAGGUAGAGGACGUUAUAUUUGGACCAGUAAGACACCAACGAGGUAGAGGGCGUUAUAUUUGGACCAGUAAGACACCAACGAGGUAGAGGACGUUAUAUUUGGACCAGUAAGACACCAACGAGGUAGAGGACGUUAUGUUUGGACCAGUAAGACACCAACGCGGUAGAGGACGUUAUGUUUGGACCAGUAAGACACCAACGAGGUAGAGGACGUUAUGUUUGGACCAGUAAGACACCAACGAGGUGGAGGACGUUAUGUUUGGACCAGUAAGACACCAACGCGGUAGAGGACGUUAUGUUUGGACCAGUAAGACACCAACGCGGUAGAGGACGUUAUGUUUGGACCAGUAAGACACC
This is a long non-coding RNA of Oncorhynchus tshawytscha (Chinook salmon), 1376 nucleotides long. RefSeq lists it as uncharacterized. NCBI's taxonomy places the organism in Eukaryota, Metazoa, Chordata, Actinopteri, Salmoniformes, Salmonidae. The record is from RefSeq and is a predicted model, not a curated record. The transcript is spliced from 3 exons.